UGGCGGCGUGCUUAACACAUGCAAGUCGAACGAUGAACCACUUCGGUGGGGAUUAGUGGCGAACGGGUGAGUAACACGUGGGCAAUCUGCCCUUCACUCUGGGACAAGCCCUGGAAACGGGGUCUAAUACCGGAUAUCACUCUCGCAGGCAUCUGUGAGGGUCGAAAGCUCCGGCGGUGAAGGAUGAGCCCGCGGCCUAUCAGCUUGUUGGUGAGGUAAUGGCUCACCAAGGCGACGACGGGUAGCCGGCCUGAGAGGGCGACCGGCCACACUGGGACUGAGACACGGCCCAGACUCCUACGGGAGGCAGCAGUGGGGAAUAUUGCACAAUGGGCGAAAGCCUGAUGCAGCGACGCCGCGUGAGGGAUGACGGCCUUCGGGUUGUAAACCUCUUUCAGCAGGGAAGAAGCGAAAGUGACGGUACCUGCAGAAGAAGCGCCGGCUAACUACGUGCCAGCAGCCGCGGUAAUACGUAGGGCGCAAGCGUUGUCCGGAAUUAUUGGGCGUAAAGAGCUCGUAGGCGGCUUGUCACGUCGGGUGUGAAAGCCCGGGGCUUAACCCCGGGUCUGCAUUCGAUACGGGCUAGCUAGAGUGUGGUAGGGGAGAUCGGAAUUCCUGGUGUAGCGGUGAAAUGCGCAGAUAUCAGGAGGAACACCGGUGGCGAAGGCGGAUCUCUGGGCCAUUACUGACGCUGAGGAGCGAAAGCGUGGGGAGCGAACAGGAUUAGAUACCCUGGUAGUCCACGCCGUAAACGGUGGGAACUAGGUGUUGGCGACAUUCCACGUCGUCGGUGCCGCAGCUAACGCAUUAAGUUCCCCGCCUGGGGAG
Molecule: ribosomal RNA, 828 nt
Filed under: Streptomyces sp. Sp080513IM-17
Lineage: Bacteria; Bacillati; Actinomycetota; Actinomycetes; Kitasatosporales; Streptomycetaceae
Description: bacterial SSU rRNA
Rfam family: Bacterial small subunit ribosomal RNA
Source: RNAcentral